AGAGUUUGAUCAUGGCUCAGGAUGAACGUUGGCGGUGUGCCUAAUACAUGCAAGUCGAACGGAGUUAAUAGCAAUAUUGACUUAGUGGCGAACGGGUGAGUAACGCGUUGGUGAUCUGCCUCGAAGUGUGGAAUAACGUUCCGAAAGGAACGCUAAUACCGCAUGUGCUCUCGAUUUUUAGAAAGUUGAGAGUAAAGGAUUUAUUCGCUUCGAGAGGAGCCUGCGUCCCAUCAGCUGGUUGGUAGGGUAACGGCCUACCAAGGCUAUGACGGGUAGGGGACCUGAGAGGGUGGCCCCCCACAAUGGAACUGAAACACGGUCCAUACACCUACGGGUGGCAGCAGUAGGGAAUAUUAGAAAUGGACGAAAGUCUGAUCUAGCAACACCGCGUGUGCGAAGAAGGCCUUCGGGUCGUAAAGCACUUUUUAGAAGGAAUAGGAAGGAAUGUACUUCCAGAAUAAGUCUCGGCUAACUACGUGCCAGCAGCCGCGGUAACACGUAGGAGGCGAACGUUAUCCGGAUUUACUGGGCGUAAAGCGCGUGUAGGUGGUACUGUAAGUAGGGCGUGAAAGCUCCCGGCUCAACUGGGAGAGGCCGUUCUAAACUACAGAACUAGAGGAUGGUAGAGGGAGGUGGAAUUCCAGGUGUAGCGGUGGAAUGCGCAGAUAUCUGGAGGAACACCGGUGGCGAAGGCGGCCUCCUGGACCAUUCCUGACACUCAGACGCGAAAGCUAGGGUAGCAAACGGGAUUAGAGACCCCGGUAGUCCUAGCCCUAAACGAUGUAGACUAGGCGUCGGAAGUUUAAUCACUUUCGGUGUCCAAGCUAACGCGAUAAGUCUACCGCCUGGGGACUACGGCCGCAAGGUUAAAACUCAAAGGAAUUGACGG
RNAcentral lists this ribosomal RNA (889 nucleotides) under Chloroflexi bacterium enrichment culture clone B312146. Its description in RNAcentral is "bacterial SSU rRNA". It matches the Rfam family "Bacterial small subunit ribosomal RNA", at positions 8 to 916 of the family's 1533-position model. The record is from RNAcentral. Lineage: Bacteria; Bacillati; Chloroflexota.